GACGAACGCUGGCGGCGUGCUUAACACAUGCAAGUCGAACGGAAAGGCCCCUUUGGGGGUACUCGAGUGGCGAACGGGUGAGUAUCACGUGAGUAACCUGCCCUUGACUUCGGGAUAACUUCAGGAAACUGGGGCUAAUACCGGAUAGGAAUCCUUGCUGCAUGGUGGGGGUUGGAAAGCUUCGGCGGUUUUGGAUGGACUCGCGGCUUAUCAGCUUGUUGGUGGGGUAGUGGCUUACCAAGGCUUUGACGGGUAGCCGGCCUGAGAGGGCGACCGGCCACAUUGGGACUGAGAUACGGCCCAGACUCCUACGGGAGGCAGCAGUGGGGAAUAUUGCACAAUGGGCGGAAGCCUGAUGCAGCAACGCCGCGUGCGGGAUGACGGCCUUCGGGUUGUAAACCGCUUUCAGCAGGGGCGAAGCUUGUGGUGACGGUACCUGCAGAAGAAGCACCGGCUAACUACGUG
Molecule: ribosomal RNA, 465 nt
Filed under: uncultured bacterium
Lineage: Bacteria
Description: partial 16S ribosomal RNA
Rfam family: Bacterial small subunit ribosomal RNA
Source: RNAcentral